CAGGAUCCCCCAGAAGUGUCCGCGGGGGCUUCCCUUCUGGAAUGGAGCCCUGGACGGGGGUGGAGGCGCCGCCUUUGGGAUGUUCAGUUGGCUCUGGCUUGUGCCGGUCUUCCCCUCACCUCUCCCUCCUCUUUCUGACACAUCAAACCAUCUGGGUUUCAAGUAAUAACACCUGCAAUCAUGCUGAGCAACAGAAACUCCUUCACCUUCUGAGGAUCCCUGGAAUCUGGUAUUAAAGAUGUCCGAGCAUCGAAAAGACCCAGCCAAAU
Balaenoptera musculus (blue whale) is the source of this 269-nucleotide long non-coding RNA. RefSeq lists it as uncharacterized. The record is from RefSeq and is a predicted model, not a curated record. The transcript has 3 exons. NCBI's taxonomy places the organism in Eukaryota, Metazoa, Chordata, Mammalia, Artiodactyla, Balaenopteridae.